Molecule: unclassified non-coding RNA, 349 nt
Filed under: rhizosphere metagenome
Description: partial ribosomal RNA internal transcribed spacer region
Source: RNAcentral
GUAGGUGAACCUGCGGAAGGAUCAUUAUUGAAUUAUGUUUUCUAGAUGAGUUGUAGCUGGCUCUUUGGAGCAUGUGCACGCCUGUCUGGACUUCAUCUUCAUCCACCUGUGCACCUAUUGUAGUCUUUUGUCGGGUAUUGAGGAAGUGGUCAGCCUUAUCAGCACUUGCUGGAUGUGAGGACUUGCAGUGUGAAAGCAUUGCUGUCCUUUACUUGGCCAUGGAAUCCUUUCCCUGCCAGAGUCUAUGUCAUUCAUUACACCCUGUAGAAUGUUAUUGAAUGUCUUUACAUGAGCUUGUAUGCCUAUGAAAAUUGUAAUACAACUUUCAGCAACGGAUCUCUUGGCUCUC